Long non-coding RNA from Chelonia mydas (Green sea turtle), 5011 nucleotides. RefSeq lists it as uncharacterized. NCBI's taxonomy places the organism in Eukaryota, Metazoa, Chordata, Testudines, Cheloniidae. The transcript is spliced from 2 exons. The record is from RefSeq and is a predicted model, not a curated record.
CAGGCUCCAUGUCCCAUGUUCACCUGCCCCUCCUUCCAUGUCCUGCCAGGCUCUUCCCACUGUCCAAGCACACCCGUCUCCAGCUCCGCUUCCCCAUACCAGGACUCUCAGUAAACAAUACAGGAAAAGAAGACAUAUGGGGACUUUGUUCCUUAUCUUUUCUACUGCUGCCAUUCAUAACUCUGGACGCCUGUAUUGAUAUGGUAGCCAAAGGAGGGGGUAGAGGAGGCCAGAUCCUCUUCUCAUGGGCAAAACUCCCAUUGACUUCACUGGGACUAGGACUUGGGACACAUACUGCAGUGGCCUGAGCCUUGACUUUAAUGUAUUUGACUCCGCUUAGUAGAGCGUGUGUGGUGAGGAGAGAACACUGAAGACAGGUCAUCUCUUUAACAAAGAACAGCAGGCCCAUACUUUGCCCUGCCGCAGGUAGGGAAGAGAAGCCUGAACUGCUGAAGCAAGCAUCGUUCCAUAAAGCGCACACAGGGAAAACUACGAGACCAGCAAUUUAAUGGAAGCUCCCUAAACACUGCCCUUCAUGAUGCAAACUAAUUAUGGCAGUUCCUGAACUUCAGACUUUUCAGUUAUGGUUUAAAUGGAGAUUCAAAUCCAUGAUUCCUCAAACUUUUGGGCUAUGCAUUAGAUCAUUGGUACUCAGAGUGCCUCUUUAACUUGACUGGAAUACAUGAAUGGGUUCCAUUCAGUUGAUUAUAUUAGAGGAUGAAAUUUUGUGCGGGGGAGGCAGUACCCAGACUCCCUGAGCUUCAGGCUUUAGAGAGGCAACUCUAAUAUCAAAAUGGCUUUGAGAGACAAUCUGAGCAACUUUCCCCGCUCUGGACAAUGGGUAAAUGCUGUAAAAAUACCUGGGCAAAGUUACUCCUCAAAGUUAGGGCGCUAUUUAACCAUUCGUUCACAGGGUGCCAUGGUGCUGGGCAUGUGACAGAUUAUUCUAGAGACUCCUAGCCCAGUGAAGGAUUAAGUCAGGUAUGGUGUUUGCUCAAAGAGCAACCUGGGCAGGUCAGAUGUUGGCACUUCUCUUUCUUAGACAGUGAGCAAUUAGGGAUUGACAUUCACUUAUAUUAAAUCAAAUAGCAGCCCCCUGGUUUUGUAUGCUCUAGACAGCUACUUGGGUCACUAAUGUUAAGGCCAGCCAUGGAUUAGGAGAACAUGUAUACAGUAUAUGUAUGUAGUGUUGAAAGAUUUGAAUUAGAACGAGAUGAUCACGGGUGAAAUGUCCCUAUCUGGCACUGCUACCAUUCCAUUUGUCACCCUUUGUCAGAGAGGUUCCUUUUUCUAUUGCCGACAGGCUUAAAAUGAUCACUGCAAUGAGAAAAGGAUGCACCUAAGGUGCUUGUGUGCUGCCACCCACCUCAAAUUAACUGGCAAAAACAAACACACAAACCAACCAGGAACAUUUGUAGAAACUUUAAUGGCUGGGGGGAGGAGGAAGAAGAGGGGAAGGGAGAAGUGUCUUGAAAUUUGUGGACAGGGAGGGAGGAGAAGGGGAAAAAAAACAAGGGAAGAAGGACAGUGUGAAAGAAAUGGGGAGUUGAAUUUUCCAUUUUUAUGCAAAACGAUAAGAGGGAGAUUUUCAAAGGCGCAAGGAAAAUUAGGCAUCUAAUUCCCAUUGGAAGUCAAAGGGAACUGGGUGCUUCAGUCUGCUUUGUGCCUCUGAAAAUAUCCCCUCUUCUUGUUUGUAUAUUUAAAAUGUUCUGUCAAUUUACGUGGGUAUGAUAAAUCACAAAAAUAUACUUCUAAAAUACCAACUCCCAUCAUGCUGAACAGCCAAAGUAACUUCAUGAAGACAGACAAACUUGUGUUAAAAGAAAAGGGAAAAAAAAAUCACACCAUAAAUUUAUGUAAGUUUCUAUUUUAAAAUCAUCUGGUCCUAAUUUACAAAAGUUACUGCCUCAGAGCUAUUGCCAAAGUGCUACAUUUGAUUUAUGGAAAUACUUUAGCACAUUUUUCCAUCCUGCUAUUGUAGAAUCUAUUCACUGCUCUUUUGUUAUUAUUAGAAAAAUGACAGACUUUCAAAAAACCCCAACCUUUAAGCAGCUCAAUGAUAUCUUAUUAUAGCACGCCAUAUGAUGCGUAGGUAAUAAGAAACCUAGUAAACAGUCCGGUGUAUUUAGAAGCAUUCCACUUUUGUUCAAUUAAAAAAAUAAGUGUUCCAGCUGGUAAAUGGAUGUUUGAAAAUGUUCAGUUUGUGCCAAACCACUUUUCUUAAGCGCAGACUACAUUUUUUUCAGGCAAAUAUUUAAACAGCAGCCAUACUGUGAUGCAUGGCUAGCCAUUAGAAACAAAACAAAACAAAAAAAAACCCCAGACAGCACAGCACAGGGGGUACUCACAAAAUAUUCCAUUAAAAUAUAUCUAAAAGUAUCAAUCUAAACAACAUUUUAUGCCCUGAAAUGGGUUUGGAGGAUUAGAAUCUACUGGGUGCUUGGCUCUAGACCCCUUUUCAGCAAAGGAGUUAAACACAUGCUUAAAGUUAAGCAUGUGCUUAAGUCCAUCUCUAUUCAGCAAAGCACCUAAGUGCGUAAAGUUAAGCAUAGGCUUACAGGCCUUGCUGAGUCAGGGUCCUAGCUAAUAACAACAUGAAUCCGUUCUGAACCUUUUGUUUGCUUCUGACACUAAACCAAGAUUGAGAUGCUGAAUGUUUGAGUUUUUGAAGGUCUUGAAAAUAUUGUUAGCUUCCCCUCCCCGCUCCCCCAUUAUUUUUCAUCUUCGCUAGAAAUAGGUCAACGCUGCACAUUUUGGAUAUGGAGUUCAAUGUUUCCAAACACAGGGUAUUUGGAUGUAAGGUUUUGGUGGAGGCCUUUCUCUAAUUUUCAUGCUCCUCUGCACGUUGUACUUCUCUCUAAAUCUGGAACCAGAAGUGCUGAAAUACCACAAGAUAAGAGGAUUCUUCUGGUAUAGGCACAAUACAAAUAAUAAUUAAUAUUAUUUCUAUCCUGAGCUAAAGUAGGCAGUGCUAGAAAUCUCAUGAGAAAGCAGUAGUGAUUUAACACUAAUUGGGAUGUGAUCUAGUCUAGCCGAAGUGCUCUUCCUCCUCCUCCUCACACAACCAUGUAACACCCCUGCUAAAGUAUAAGUACCACUCCUCACUGCCUGCUUUCAUAAUGCUACCUCUUGUUCCUCUCUCUGCGUACUCUCAUGUUGAUUCCUGGAUCCAAACUUAAGGCCCGCAGAAGUUAUGGGAGUCUUUCAACUGACUUCACUGCUUUGGAUCAGUCUCUUUAUGGGCCUGUAAGUUCCCACUUAGUCAUGGAUUCUGCUGACUGCCUUUCUCCUCACCUGACCUCCUUAUCAUAUUUCCAGCCAUUCUCUUCCAAACUCAGCGAAUUUAGAGAGCUGGCCCCUGAAGGAGAAAGCCAUCAGGCCCUUACGAUGAGCCUCAGACAAGUACUGAAAUGUUUAGAUGCCUUUCUGAACCAAACCCCAAAUCCAAAGUUUUCAAGGUUCACCCAUCACUACAUGUGACUGAUCUUACUAGGUUCCCAUGCUUGGGGUUUGCAAAGCAGCAGCUGAAUAUGCUGCAGUUUGAGUCACGGAAUAAUGGAGUGAAAUCCUGGCCCUAUUGAAGUCAGAGGGAGUCUUGCCACAGACUUCAAUAAAGCUAGGAUUUCACCUAGAGAGAGAAAAUAACUAUUGGGCCAUCCUAUCCUUCUCUCCACCAAGGGAGAAUUGUUCCCUAUGGUACAUUUACUAGUGGUAUACCACCAGGUCUUCCUGUAAUUUCCCACGUUUUGAAAGUAUUUCAGUUUUCUUUCUGGUACACAGACGAUUUUUAUCUUUUUUUGUGAACCAAAAAUGUGAGAAACAGGAAGCCUUUUAACAUACCCAACUAAAAGAUCCGGGCUGAGAAAAUUUCCCUUGCACUCACCAAAUACACGCUCCACCAAAACGUCUCAAAUGGUUCUGUUAUGCUGAUGUAUGUGAGCCACUGAUGAAGAAAUGAAUGGAUGCAAAGAAGGGAAAGGGGAGGAGGGAAAGGGGGUAAAAAGGUCAUGACUAAGAAAAAGAAUGAUUCAGUGCUGAAUUUUUUUCCCCAUGGAUCCUGGAUGUCCACGCUGAAAACAUGUAAUUGGUUGAGCCCCAGCUGGAGAUCUUCUGAGCUCUUCCUUCUUCCCCUCCAUGCCCUAGGUGGCUUUGGGUUCUGUGGGGCUGGCAUUUUUGUUUGUAGAUCAAAGUCAGUGUAAAGUUGUAAACUUCUCACUGUGUCCUGCCCUGGACAGGAGAUAACUGUACAAGCCAAGCAAAACACUAGUGUCCAAAUUUAAUUUGACACACCAUGAAAAUGAGACAAUUGUGUGCUAGCUGGUUGGGGUCCAGAGAUGUCACCUCCCAUUACUGUCAUUUGUCGGGAGGCUGCCAGCAUCUGUCCAUUUUCACAACCCAAUAAAUGCGGUGGAAGACCUCGGCAGCCUGAGGGAGAGUAGAGCUUUGUUUUUCUGGGCCUAAUCUCCUUCAACCACUUCCUGUUUCUAUUGAAGAGACUUCUUUUUAAUGCCUUUUUUUGUUUUGUUUUAAUGACCAGUGUUCUUGUGUCUGUUUCCAGGUCUCACUGAAAGGUCAGGUCUGCUUUUCUCUUUGCUUUCCAUUCAUAUGGUGAGUAGCAAUCACUGCUUCCCAAGGGCCUUGCGGCUGCUCUCUUUGCUGACCUCACUCCAGUUCUUUGAGUUUGACAAUGGCCUUUCCAUUAUUGUACUUGUUGGGAAAAGAAUCCCUGGGGAACUCUCAAUGAAUUUAGAUCCACACAUCCAAUUCUUGCUAUUUAUCAUUACUUUGGUAAAGUGUUUUGGUAAAUAAGUGUGUCCAAACUGCAUAAGCUUUCAGCCCUUUCUUUGCACAGUGAUCUAACCAAGGACAUCUGACGUGAGGAAUCAUUUUUUCCACCUGCUGCUUUUAGCAGCUUCCAAAUUUUCUUAUUCUUAGUCUGCAUGUUAUUUGUCUCUCACAGCAAUUGUCCCACGUUUAAAAAAAAAAAAAAAAAAAAAAAGAUGACAUUAUU